UAUAGAGUCUGAGGAUCUCUCAGCAUUAACUGGUCAUGACUUUACUACCAACGGUGAAGUUCUGGGAAGACGUAGAAGCGACGAUCAUCUAGAAGGAAAUGACGGGCCAAACGCGGACGAUUUGCCACCCAGAGAAUCUAUAAAGGCAUACUUAACUGAAAUGGUACGGGAACAUGGAAUAUCAGGAAUUGCAGGAGCAAUAAACGAUGACCUUAAUAAAUUGAAAACUAUUCCGAUCAGUAUAUGUGUAAUUGGCGAAACAGGCGCGGGGAAAUCUUCCUUUAUUAAUUCCAUUAGAGGUUUAAAAGCUUCCGACAAUGGUGCUGCUUGUGUUGGAGUAGGCAGGACAACCAUAACAAUAGCCAAGUAUCCGCAUCCAAGAUAUCCUAAUAUCAUUUACUAUGAUGUACCAGGUCUGGCAUCACUAGACUUCCCUCGGAGUGAGUAUUUGAAAUCAAUACAAAUCAAUACUUACGAUUUCUUCAUUUUAAUUUAUGACGGCAAAUUUAAGGAAAAUCAGAAAUGGCUUCUUGAAGAAAUAAGAAAAACGAACAAGCAAUUGUAUUUUGUGAGAGCCAAGAUUGAUCAAGAUGUUACAAAUCAGAAAAGGGACCACGGCAGUGAACCGAAUGAAACAAUAGAGAAAGUAAGAGAAGAUUGUUACAGAAAUCUUGAAGCCAUCGGGGUGAGCAUUCCUUCGGUGUUUCUCAUCAGCAACCACCAUGUUCAUGAAUAUGAAUUCAACAGUCUAAAAUCACGAUUAAUUAAUGAUGCAGCUGGUCUACAAAAAGAAGCGUUGAUGAUGUCAAUGACAUCUUCGACAAAAUGGGUACUCGAAGAAAAAAAGAAGUUAUUAAAACAAAGAAUAUUUAAAGUC
Dreissena polymorpha is the source of this 877-nucleotide long non-coding RNA. RefSeq lists it as uncharacterized. The transcript has 3 exons. NCBI's taxonomy places the organism in Eukaryota, Metazoa, Mollusca, Bivalvia, Myida, Dreissenidae. The record is from RefSeq and is a predicted model, not a curated record.